RNAcentral lists this ribosomal RNA (543 nucleotides) under uncultured bacterium. Its description in RNAcentral is "bacterial SSU rRNA". It matches the Rfam family "Bacterial small subunit ribosomal RNA", at positions 777 to 1319 of the family's 1533-position model. The record is from RNAcentral.
AAUAGAUACCCGGGUAGUCCAUGCCGUAAACGUUGGGCACUAGGUGUGGGGCUCAUUCCACGAGUUCCGUGCCGCAGCUAACGCAUUAAGUGCCCCGCCUGGGGAGUACGGCCGCAAGGCUAAAACUCAAAGGAAUUGACGGGGGCCCGCACAAGCGGCGGAGCAUGCGGAUUAAUUCGAUGCAACGCGAAGAACCUUACCAAGGCUUGACAUAUACCGAAAACUCGUGGAGACACGGGGUCCGCAAGGGCGGUAUACAGGUGGUGCAUGGUUGUCGUCAGCUCGUGUCGUGAGAUGUUGGGUUAAGUCCCGCAACGAGCGCAACCCUCGUCCUAUGUUGCCAGCGGGUUAAUGCCGGGGACUCAUAGGAGACUGCCGGGGUCAACUCGGAGGAAGGUGGGGAUGAGGUCAAAUCAUCAUGCCCCUUAUGUCUUGGGCUUCACGCAUGCUACAAUGGCCGGUACAAAGGGCUGCGAUACCGCAAGGUGGAGCGAAUCUCAAAACGCCGGUCUCAGUUCGGAUUGGGGUCUGCAACUCGACCCC